RNAcentral lists this ribosomal RNA (447 nucleotides) under uncultured bacterium. RNAcentral's name for it is "bacterial SSU rRNA". It matches the Rfam family "Bacterial small subunit ribosomal RNA", at positions 29 to 521 of the family's 1533-position model. The record is from RNAcentral.
AACGAACGCUGGCGGCAUGCCUAACACAUGCAAGUCGAACGAGACCUUUGGGUCUAGUGGCGCACGGGUGCGUAACGCGUGGGAACCUGCCUUUAGGUUCGGAGUAACUCAGAGAAAUUUGAGCUAAUACCGGAUAAUGUCUUCGGACCAAAGAUUUAUCGCCUUUAGAUGGGCCCGCGUUGGAUUAGCUAGUUGGUGGGGUAAAGGCCUACCAAGGCGACGAUCCAUAGCUGGUCUGAGAGGAUGAUCAGCCACACUGGGACUGAGACACGGCCCAGACUCCUACGGGAGGCAGCAGUGGGGAAUAUUGGACAAUGGGCGAAAGCCUGAUCCAGCAAUGCCGCGUGAGUGAUGAAGGCCUUAGGGUUGUAAAGCUCUUUUACCCGAGAUGAUAAUGACAGUAUCGGGAGAAUAAGCUCCGGCUAACUCCGUGCCAGCAGCCGCGGU